GCCCGGGUGGCUCAGUGGUUGAGCGUCUGCCUCCAGCUCAGGGCGUGAUCCUGGAGUCCUGGGAUCGAGUCCCACAUCGGGCU
Non-coding RNA from Canis lupus familiaris (dog), 83 nucleotides. Lineage: Eukaryota; Metazoa; Chordata; Mammalia; Carnivora; Canidae. The record is from Rfam.